This 431-nucleotide ribosomal RNA is filed under the name bacterium SU1. RNAcentral describes it as "bacterial SSU rRNA". It matches the Rfam family "Bacterial small subunit ribosomal RNA", at positions 336 to 779 of the family's 1533-position model. The record is from RNAcentral.
UUCCUACGGGAGGCAGCAGUGGGGAAUAUUGCACAAUGGGCGCAAGCCUGAUGCAGCGACGCCGCGUGAGGGAUGACGGCCUUCGGGUUGUAAACCUCUUUCAGUAGGGAAGAAGCGAAAGUGACGGUACCUGCAGAAGAAGCACCGGCUAACUACGUGCCAGCAGCCGCGGUAAUACGUAGGGUGCGAGCGUUAUCCGGAAUUAUUGGGCGUAAAGAGCUCGUAGGCGGUUUGCCGCGUCUGUCGUGAAAGUCCGGGGCUUAACCCCGGAUCUGCGGUGGGUACGGGCAGACUAGAGUGCAGUAGGGGAGACUGGAAUUCCUGGUGUAGCGGUGGAAUGCGCAGAUAUCAGGAGGAACACCGAUGGCGAAGGCAGGUCUCUGGGCUGUAACUGACGCUGAGGAGCGAAAGCAUGGGGAGCGAACAGGAUU